Beta vulgaris subsp. vulgaris (sugar beet) is the source of this 107-nucleotide non-coding RNA. The record is from Rfam. Lineage: Eukaryota; Viridiplantae; Streptophyta; Magnoliopsida; Caryophyllales; Amaranthaceae.
AAACCAUGAUGAGGAUAAAGGCGUUGUAGAUCCUUGAAUCUUUCCCAAGCUUCAUACAAUGACUCGCCAGGAUCUUGGAUGAAGGUCACUAUCACAUGACGCAUAUU